CUGCCUCAGCCUCCUGAGCAUCUUUUCUCCAUAGGGAGUCACUCGGUUCAGAAGAAGGGAGUUAUGUAGAGAGCUGUCCCAUACAGCCUCAAAGCGGUAGAAGGUCCUGAAGUCAGAAAGACAAGAGGGAAUCAUCCAAAAGAUGCUAAAGUCACCUCAGCCCAGGUACUGCCACUGUCAAUCAUCCUAAAGAAC
Molecule: non-coding RNA, 195 nt
Organism: Saimiri boliviensis boliviensis (Bolivian squirrel monkey)
Lineage: Eukaryota; Metazoa; Chordata; Mammalia; Primates; Cebidae
Source: RefSeq, a predicted model, not a curated record